CUUCCCUGGCAAUGAGCAAAGAGACACCUUGUUGAUGGUGUUGUUCUUGUACCAAUCAGGUACAGAGCAGAUGGCAGGCCUUUGUUCAUUCUAUCUUGAUGCCUGGCUAGGUAGCCAAAGCUAUUUUAUGCCUAGGACUCAUAA
This is a small nucleolar RNA of Meriones unguiculatus (Mongolian gerbil), 144 nucleotides long. RefSeq annotates it as small nucleolar RNA SNORA48. The transcript has a single exon. Lineage: Eukaryota; Metazoa; Chordata; Mammalia; Rodentia; Muridae. The record is from RefSeq and is a predicted model, not a curated record.